GGAUUAGGCAUGCAAGUCGAACGGGGUCCAUUCAGUGGCAACACUGAGGAAGAUCUAGUGGCGAACGGGUGAGUAACACGUGAGGAACCUAUCCCGGUCUCUGGAAUAACAAGUGGAAACAUUUGCUAAUACCGGAUGCCGUCGCUAUCUCUCAUGGGGUGGUGACGAACGAUUUAUCGGAUUGGGCGGGCCUCGCGGCCUAUCAGCUUGUUGGUGGGGUAAUGGCCUACCAAGGCAUCGACGGGUAGCUGGUCUGAGAGGAUGAUCAGCCACACUGGGACUGAGACACGGCCCAGACUCCUACGGGAGGCAGCAGUAGGGAAUCUUGCGCAAUGGGCGAAAGCCUGACGCAGCAACGCCGCGUGCGGGAAGAAGGCUCUCGGGUUGUAAACCGCUUUCAGUAGGAACGAAUUUGACGGUACCUGCAGAAGAAGGUGCGGCCAACUACGUGCCAGCAGCCGCGGUGACACGUAGGCACCAAGCGUUGUCCGGAUUUAUUGGGCGUAAAGAGCUCGUAGGCGGUUCAGUAAGUCGGGUGUGAAAACUCAGGGCUUAACCCUGAGCUGCCACCCGAUACUGCUGUGACUUGAGUCUGGUAGGGGAGUGGGGAAUUCCUGGUGUAGCGGUGAAAUGCGCAGAUAUCAGGAGGAACACCGGUGGCGAAGGCGCCACUCUGGGCCACGACUGACGCUGAGGAGCGAAAGCAUGGGUAGCAAACAGGAUUAGAUACCCUGGUAGUCCAUGCCGUAAACGUUGGGCACUAAGUAGAGGGGUUUUAAUCGUCGAC
Molecule: ribosomal RNA, 787 nt
Filed under: Candidatus Scalindua marina (nom. nud.)
Lineage: Bacteria; Pseudomonadati; Planctomycetota; Candidatus Brocadiia; Candidatus Brocadiales; Candidatus Scalinduaceae
Description: bacterial SSU rRNA
Rfam family: Bacterial small subunit ribosomal RNA
Source: RNAcentral